Molecule: long non-coding RNA, 288 nt
Filed under: Mytilus galloprovincialis (Mediterranean mussel)
Lineage: Eukaryota; Metazoa; Mollusca; Bivalvia; Mytilida; Mytilidae
Source: RNAcentral
UUCGGGUGAGCCAAGGUUAGCUCCGUCUUGAAGGCUGUACUUUUACCUAUAAUUGUUAACAUUAAAUAUAUUGUGACCGUGGAUUUUUUCUCAAAUGAUAUGGCUAAAAUUACCCGUUUUCCUUCGAUUUCCUUACUUUAAGAAAGAUCAGUUUUGCUGGAUCCUUGGAGCAAUUUUCAUGCAAACAAUUAUUAUCUGUAUUUUCUGUAUUUAAAGAUAUUUUUUUUAGAAACUGGUAAGUUCAAAAAACAUAUAAAGCAAGAUUAUAAACGCAAGAUAUUUUUUUUU